UUGCUGUUAAUGAAGGGAGUAACCAAAGACUAUUGCUAAGUAACAGCUACAUUACAGUGAUUGACAGCUGGUCUGUAUUCUGACUCCUCCCACCAGUGUCAGUGAUGUCAUUCCCUAAGAGUUCCAACAUCUACUGAGCAUGUCUGACCCGGUACUUGCCAUUCAUCUCUAUUAUAUCUAUUACUAUAGAAUCAGAGCCUGAUUGAUCAUCAUAUUUGCAGCUGCGGACCGGAGCGACUGGAGAGAAGAGAACCAGGAAUGGGAGGCAAGCAUAACGGGAUGGGAGGGGACAGAGCGGCUGCGGUGACACGGAACAUCUGUCAGAGGCGGCAAUUGGCACUGGAUAGUGGCUGCUAGUUAGAUGUCGAUUCGGAAGUGAACUCAUCAGUCAUCAGGGAUUGUGAUAGGGCUGACAAUACGUCUGGAAAUAGUGGGUUUCAGGGCCGUCUAAACAGCAUUGAAGUCCUGGGCAAAGCAAUGCACUGGGGCCUCUACAGGAAUGAAUAAAUAAAAAAUCCUAACUUAC
This is a long non-coding RNA of Pseudophryne corroboree (corroboree frog), 526 nucleotides long. RefSeq lists it as uncharacterized. The transcript has 2 exons. The record is from RefSeq and is a predicted model, not a curated record. NCBI's taxonomy places the organism in Eukaryota, Metazoa, Chordata, Amphibia, Anura, Myobatrachidae.